RNAcentral lists this ribosomal RNA (433 nucleotides) under uncultured organism. RNAcentral describes it as "bacterial SSU rRNA". It matches the Rfam family "Bacterial small subunit ribosomal RNA", at positions 29 to 507 of the family's 1533-position model. The record is from RNAcentral.
AACGAACGCUGGCGGCAGGCCUAACACAUGCAAGUCGAACGCCGUAGCAAUACGGAGUGGCAGACGGGUGAGUAACGCGUGGGAACAUACCCUUUGGUUCGGAAUAACUUGAGGAAACUUGAGCUAAUACCGGAUACGGCAGAGAUGCGAAAGAUUUAUCGCCGAAGGAUUGGCCCGCGUUCGAUUAGCUAGUUGGUGAGGUAAUGGCUCACCAAGGCGACGAUCGAUAGCUGGUCUGAGAGGAUGACCAGCCACACUGGGACUGAGACACGGCCCAGACUCCUACGGGAGGCAGCAGUGGGGAAUAUUGGACAAUGGGCGCAAGCCUGAUCCAGCCAUGCCGCGUGAAUGAUGAAGGCCUUAGGGUUGUAAAGUUCUUUCGCCAGGGACGAUAAUGACGGUACCUGGAUAAGAAGCCCCGGCUAACUUCGUG